Molecule: ribosomal RNA, 275 nt
Filed under: uncultured bacterium
Lineage: Bacteria
Description: partial 16S ribosomal RNA
Rfam family: Bacterial small subunit ribosomal RNA
Source: RNAcentral
AUACGUAGGGGGCAAGCGUUGUCCGGAAUUACUGGGCGUAAAGAGCUCGUAGGCGGCUCAGCAAGUCGGUCGUGAAAGCCCGAGGCUCAACCUCGGAACUGCGGUCGAUACUGCUGUGGCUAGAGUCCGGUAGGGGAGAGUGGAAUUCCCGGUGUAGCGGUGGAAUGCGCAGAUAUCGGGAGGAACACCAGUGGCGAAGGCGGCUCUCUGGGCCGGUACUGACGCUGAGGAGCGAAAGCGUGGGGAGCAAACAGGAUUAGAAACCCCAGUAGUCC